This 69-nucleotide transfer RNA is filed under the name Ischnocnema colibri. RNAcentral describes it as "tRNA-Val". It matches the Rfam family "tRNA". From Rfam's summary of the family: Transfer RNA (tRNA) molecules are approximately 80 nucleotides in length. Their secondary structure includes four short double-helical elements and three loops (D, anti-codon, and T loops). Further hydrogen bonds mediate the characteristic L-shaped molecular structure. tRNAs have two regions of fundamental functional importance: the anti-codon, which is responsible for specific mRNA codon recognition, and the 3' end, to which the tRNAs corresponding amino acid is attached (by aminoacyl-tRNA synthetases). tRNAs cope with the degeneracy of the genetic code in two manners: having more than one tRNA (with a specific anti-codon) for a particular amino acid; and 'wobble' base-pairing, i.e. permitting non-standard base-pairing at the 3rd anti-codon position. The record is from RNAcentral. Lineage: Eukaryota; Metazoa; Chordata; Amphibia; Anura; Brachycephalidae.
GUACAUAUAGCUUAUCUAAAGCAUUUCAUUUACACUGAAAAAAAGUCCGUUAAACCCGGUCUACUUAGA